This 403-nucleotide unclassified non-coding RNA is filed under the name uncultured Glomus. Its description in RNAcentral is "SSU rRNA". It matches the Rfam family "Eukaryotic small subunit ribosomal RNA", at positions 569 to 978 of the family's 1831-position model. The record is from RNAcentral. Lineage: Eukaryota; Fungi; Glomeromycota; Glomeromycetes; Glomerales; Glomeraceae.
AGCAGCCGCGGUAAUUCCAGCUCCAAUAGCGUAUAUUAAAGUUGUUGCAGUUAAAAGCUCGUAGUUGAAUUUCGGGAUCAUCAGGUUGGUCGUGCCUCUGGUAUGUACUGAUUUCGAUGGUUCCUCCUUCUUGAAGAACCGUAAUGCCAUUUAAUUUGGUGUUGCGGGGAAACAGGACUGUUACUUUGAAAAAUUGAGUGUUUAAAGCAGGCAAUCGCUUGAAUACAUUAGCAUGGAAUAAUGAAAUAGGACGUUCGAUCCUAUUUUGUUGGUUUCUAGGAUUGACGUAAUGAUUAAUAGGGAUAGUUGGGGGCAUUAGUAUUCAAUUGUCAGAGGUGAAAUUCUUGGAUUUAUUGAAGACUAACUACUGCGAAAGCAUUUGCCAAGGAUGUUUUCAUUAAUC